CAGAGGGUGCAAGCGUUAAUCGGAUUUACUGGGCGUAAAGCGUGAGUAGGUGGCUUCCUAAGUCGGUUGUGAAAUCCCUGGGCUUAACCUGGGAAUUGCAGUCGAUACUGGGAAGCUCGAGUUCGGUAGAGGGUGGCGGAAUUCCCGGUGUAGCGGUGAAAUGCGUAGAUAUCGGGAGGAACAUCGAUGGCGAAGGCAACCACCUGGGCCUGAACUGACACUGAGACACGAAAGCGUGGGUAGCAAACAGGAUUAGAUACCCUGGUAGUCCACGCCGUAAACGAUGAGAACCUGACGUCGGUUUGCUCUGCGAAUCGGUGUCGUAGCUAACGCGCUAAGUUCUCCGCCUGGGGAGUACGGCCGCAAGGUUG
Molecule: ribosomal RNA, 371 nt
Filed under: uncultured organism
Description: bacterial SSU rRNA
Rfam family: Bacterial small subunit ribosomal RNA
Source: RNAcentral